Meleagris gallopavo (turkey) is the source of this 224-nucleotide non-coding RNA. NCBI's taxonomy places the organism in Eukaryota, Metazoa, Chordata, Aves, Galliformes, Phasianidae. The record is from RefSeq and is a predicted model, not a curated record.
AGCACGGUGUUGCGCGUUGCUGACCUGCGCUCUCCUUGCAGAGCACCCCGAGGCUCUCUCCUGUUUGCUGCUGCAGCUGCGCCGAGAGAAGCCCAGCGAGGAGAUGGUGAAGAUGGUGCUGAGCCGCCCGUGCCACCCCGACGAUCAGUUCACCACCAGCAUCCUGCGGCACUGGGGGCUGAAGCACGACGACCUGCUGGCCGAACACAUCAAGGCGCUGCUCA